AGGCCUCUUAUUAGAAGCUUGCUUCUGCUCAUUGCCGAGACAAGGUAAAAGGCCGUCACACGCUAAGGUAGCGUAAUAAAAAGUUCAUUAAUUGUGAACCCGAAUGAAAGAAGAAACUCAGCAGUUCUGUCAUAAUUCAGCUAAUAAAAUUAAAAAGUAAUAAAAAAGCUCUUUCAAUUGUAAGACGAGAAGACCCUAGAAACUCUCUAAGUAUUAGUUUUUUGGGGAAAAAUAAUAGGUUAAAUCUUAAGUAUUAAUGAAAUCUCAACCUAAAAAUAAGUUACUCUAGGGAUAACAGAGCAAUUUUGAUUUAAAGAUCUCAUAAAAAUUGAAGAUUGCGACCUCGAUGUUGGAUUCUUCAUUCUAUUAAUCGCAGCAGAUGAUCAAAGAGCAACUGUUCGUUGCUUAAAAGAAG
This 415-nucleotide ribosomal RNA is filed under the name Epitrimerus sabinae. Its description in RNAcentral is "partial 16S ribosomal RNA". It matches the Rfam family "Bacterial large subunit ribosomal RNA", at positions 1836 to 2597 of the family's 2925-position model. Lineage: Eukaryota; Metazoa; Arthropoda; Arachnida; Trombidiformes; Eriophyidae. The record is from RNAcentral.